This 68-nucleotide transfer RNA is filed under the name Microcanthus strigatus (stripey). Its description in RNAcentral is "tRNA-Phe". Lineage: Eukaryota; Metazoa; Chordata; Actinopteri; Centrarchiformes; Kyphosidae. The record is from RNAcentral.
GCUACCGUAGUUUACUUAAACCGUAACCCUGAAGAGGUUAAAAUGAGCCCUAGAAAGCUCCGGAGGCA